This 512-nucleotide ribosomal RNA is filed under the name uncultured bacterium. RNAcentral describes it as "bacterial SSU rRNA". It matches the Rfam family "Bacterial small subunit ribosomal RNA", at positions 25 to 518 of the family's 1533-position model. The record is from RNAcentral.
CAGAACGAACGCUGGCGGCGUGCUUAACACAUGCAAGUCGAACGCGAAAGGGACUUCGGUCCUGAGUAAAGUGGCGCACGGGUGAGUAACGCGUAGAUAACCUGUCUUCAUGUCUGGAAUAAUACGCCAAAGGGGUACUAAUACCGGAUAUUCUUGCUUUUCAUAAGUUAUGCAAGCAAAGGUGGCCUCUGCAUAUGCUACUGCAUGAAGAGGGGUCUGCGUACCAUUAGCUAGUAGGUGGGGUAAUGGCCUACCUAGGCGACGAUGGUUAGCGGGUCUGAGAGGAUGAUCCGCCACACUGGCACUGGAACACGGGCCAGACUCCUACGGGAGGCAGCAGUGAGGAAUAUUGCGCAAUGGGGGAAACCCUGACGCAGCGACGCCGCGUGAGUGAGGAAGGCCUUCGGGUCGUAAAGCUCUGUCAAGAGGAAAGAAGUGUACAAUGGCUAAUACCUGUUGUAUUUGACGGUACCUCUAAAGGAAGCACCGGCUAACUCCGUGCCAGCCGCGGC